Molecule: ribosomal RNA, 227 nt
Filed under: uncultured bacterium
Lineage: Bacteria
Description: partial 16S ribosomal RNA
Rfam family: Bacterial small subunit ribosomal RNA
Source: RNAcentral
UGAGUAACACGUAUGUAACCUACCUAUAACUGGGGAAUAGCCUUCCGAAAGGAAGAUUAACACCGCAUAAUAUCACGAGACGGCAUCGUUUUGUGAUCAAACCUCCGGGGGUUAUAGAUGGACAUGCGUAACAUUAGCUAGUUGGUGAGGUAACGGCUCACCAAGGCGACGAUGUUUAGGGGGUCUGAGAGGAUGAUCCCCCACACUGGUACUGAGACACGGACCAG